UACGUAGGGGGCAAGCGUUGUCCGGAAUUACUGGGCGUAAAGCGCGUGUAGGCGGUUAAUUAAGUCAGAUGUGAAACCUUAAGGCUCAACCUUAAGCAUGCAUCUGAUACUGGUUGACUUGAGGACAGGAGAGGGAAGUGGAAUUCCUAGUGUAGCGGUGAAAUGCGUAGAUAUUAGGAGGAACACCAGUGGCGAAGGCGACUUCCUGGCCUGUAACUGACGCUGAGACGCGAAAGCGUGGGGAGCGAACAGGAUUAGAUACCCUGGUAGUCCACGCCGUAAACGAUGGGUACUAGGUGUUGGAGGUAUCGACCCCUUCAGUGCCGCAGUUAACGCAAUAAGUACCCCGCCUGGGGAGUACGGUCGCAAGACUGAA
This 376-nucleotide ribosomal RNA is filed under the name uncultured bacterium. RNAcentral describes it as "bacterial SSU rRNA". It matches the Rfam family "Bacterial small subunit ribosomal RNA", at positions 524 to 898 of the family's 1533-position model. The record is from RNAcentral.